Molecule: ribosomal RNA, 253 nt
Filed under: uncultured bacterium
Lineage: Bacteria
Description: partial 16S ribosomal RNA
Rfam family: Bacterial small subunit ribosomal RNA
Source: RNAcentral
GACGUAGGGCGCGAGCGUUGUCCGGAUUUAUUGGGCGUAAAGAGCUCGUAGGCGGCUCGUUGCGUCGGCUGUGAAAACCCGCAGCUCAACUGUGGGCUUGCAGCUGAUACGGGCGGGCUGGGAUUCGGUAGGGGAGACUGGAAUUCCUGGUGUAGCGGUGAAAUGCGCAGAUAUCAGGAGGAACACCGGUGGCGAAGGCGGAUCUCUGGGCCGUAACUGACGCUGAGGAGCGAAAGCAUGGGGAGCGAACAGG